UUGUUGCCAUCUUGUUUGUAGGUACCUUAACCUGUGAGCCAUCUUAUGAUCGUGCUAAUUUAUUUUUGUAAAAAUAAAAUAUAUUGCAUAAGCAUAUAUGAUUAUACUAAGUCCUAUUUGUCUUCAGAUUUUCUGAUCAUACAAACUUGAAGUAAAAAGAUGUAUUUCUUUAUUUUAAGAAGGCAUAUUGGAUAAAAAAAAAAA
This 204-nucleotide unclassified non-coding RNA is filed under the name Hevea brasiliensis (rubber tree). Lineage: Eukaryota; Viridiplantae; Streptophyta; Magnoliopsida; Malpighiales; Euphorbiaceae. The record is from RNAcentral.